This 1437-nucleotide ribosomal RNA is filed under the name uncultured prokaryote. RNAcentral describes it as "partial 16S ribosomal RNA". It matches the Rfam family "Bacterial small subunit ribosomal RNA". The record is from RNAcentral.
GCUGGCAGCGUGGAUUAGGCAUGCAAGUCGAACGAGAAGUGACGAUUUCAAUCUUCGGAGAGAUUUCGUCAUGGAGAGUGGCGAAAGGGUGAGUAACGCGUGGGCAAUCUACCUCUAAGCGGGGAAUAACCUGGCGAAAGUCGGGCUAAUGCCGCAUAUGGACCUUCAGCGCAUGUUGAAGGCACCAAAGGCGGGGAUCUUCGGACCUGCCGCUUGGAGAGGAGCCCGCGUCCGAUUAGCUAGUUGGUGAGGUAACGGCCCACCAAGGCAACGAUCGGUAGCCGGCCUGAGAGGGUGACCGGCCACACUGGGACUGAGAUACUGCCCAGACUCCUACGGGAGGCUGCAGUCGAGGAUCAUUUGCAAUGCGCGAAAGCGUGACAAUGCGACGCUGCGUGGAGGACGACAGCCCUAGGGUUGUAAACUCCUGUCAUGUGGGAACAAUUCCGAACGGUUAAUAACCGGCUCGGUUGAUGGUACCACAAGAGGAAGCGACGGCUAACUUCGUGCCAGCAGCCGCGGUAAUACGAAGGUCGCUAGCGUUGUUCGGAUUUACUGGGCGUAAAGGGUGCGCAGGUGGUGCCGUGUGUCGGACGUGAAAUCCCGGGGCUCAACCCUGGAAGUGCAUCCGAAACUGCAAGACUAGAGUACAGGAGAGGAGAGCGGAAUUCUUGGUGUAGCGGUGAAAUGUGUUGAUAUCAAGAAGAACACCGGUGGCGAAGGCGGCUCUCUGGAAUGUUACUGACGCUGAGGCACGAAAGCUGGGGGAGCGAACAGGAUUAGAUACCCUGGUAGUCCCAGCCGUAAACGGUGUCGACUUGGUGUGGGGGGAAUUGACCCCCUCCGUGCCGGAGCUAACGCGUUAAGUCGACCGCCUGGGGAGUACGGCCGCAAGGCUAAAACUCAAAGAAAUUGACGGGGGCCCGCACAAGCGGAGGAGCAUGUGGCUUAAUUCGAUGCAACGCGAAGAACCUUACCAGGGCUUGACAUGUAGCUGCACGCCUCUCGAAAGGGAGGAAGCCUUAGAGGGUGCUACACAGGUGCUGCAUGGCUGUCGUCAGUUCGUGCCGUGAGGUGUUGGGUUAAGUCCCGCAACGAACGCAACCCCUGUGUUUAGUUGCUAGCGUGGGUGUUAAGCCUGCGCGCACUCUAGACAGACCGCCCGUGUAAGCGGGAGGAAGGUGGGGAUGACGUCAAGUCAGUAUGGCCCUUAUGCCCUGGGCUGCACACGUGCUACAAUGGCCGGUACAGUGGGAAGCAAGACCGCGAGGUGGAGCCAAUCCCCAAAACCGGCCUCAGUUCGGAUUGGAGUCUGCAAUUCGACUCCAUGAAGUUGGAUUCGCUAGUAAUGCCGUAUCAGCUACGACGGCGUGAAUACGUUCCCGGGCCUUGUACACACCGCCCGUCACAUCAUGAAGCCGUCUGCACCCGAAGUCG